AAGAUCCCACAUAACUUUAAAAAAACACACACACACUAAAAGAGCUUUCUUCCACAGCAGAUCGUUUGGUUUCACUGGGCACGAGCCUCAGUAUCAGAUCCAAAGCAAAGGGUCAUCACACCAAAUAUUGGAAAUAAAGUGUCCUGUAUUACUGUUCA
This is a long non-coding RNA of Ictalurus punctatus (channel catfish), 158 nucleotides long. RefSeq lists it as uncharacterized. The record is from RefSeq and is a predicted model, not a curated record. The transcript is spliced from 2 exons. Lineage: Eukaryota; Metazoa; Chordata; Actinopteri; Siluriformes; Ictaluridae.